RNAcentral lists this ribosomal RNA (494 nucleotides) under uncultured bacterium. RNAcentral describes it as "partial 16S ribosomal RNA". It matches the Rfam family "Bacterial small subunit ribosomal RNA", at positions 28 to 507 of the family's 1533-position model. The record is from RNAcentral.
GACGAACGCUGGCGGCGCGCUUAACACAUGCAGGUCGAACGGAAAGGCCUGCUUUCCCUUGUGGAUUGCGGGUACUCGAGUGGCGAACGGGUGAGUAACACGUGAGUGAUCUGUCCCCAACUUGGGUAUAAGCCUGGGAAACUGGGUCUAAUUCCCGAUAGGACUGCAGGGUGGUGCCUGUGGUGGAAAACGAUUUUCUAGUGGUUGGGGAUGAGCUCGCGGCCUAUCAGCUUGUUGGUGGGGUAAUGGCCUACCAAGGCGGCGACGGGUAGCCGGCCUGAGAGGGUGGACGGCCACAUUGGGACUGAGAUACGGCCCAGACUCCUACGGGAGGCAGCAGUGGGGAAUAUUGCACAAUGGGCGGAAGCCUGAUGCAGCGACGCCGCGUGGGGGAUGACGGCCUUCGGGUUGUAAACUCCUUUCGACCGCGAGGAAGCCACCUGGUUGGAAGGGUGGUGACGGUAGUGGUAGAAGAAGCACCGGCUAACUACGUG